CCAUAGGUUAAUGAGGCGAACCGGGGGAACUGAAACAUCUAAGUACCCCGAGGAAAAGAAAUCAACCGAGAUUCCCCCAGUAGCGGCGAGCGAACGGGGAGGAGCCCAGAGCCUGAAUCAGUGUGUGUGUUAGUGGAAGCGUCUGGAAAGGCGCGCGAUACAGGGUGACAGCCCCGUACACAAAAAUGCACAUACUGUGAGCUCGAUGAGUAGGGCGGGACACGUGGUAUCCUGUCUGAAUAUGGGGGGACCAUCCUCCAAGGCUAAAUACUCCUGACUGACCGAUAGUGAACCAGUACCGUGAGGGAAAGGCGAAAAGAACCCCGGCGAGGGGAGUGAAAAAGAACCUGAAACCGUGUACGUACAAGCAGUGGGAGCCUCUUAAUGGGGUGACUGCGUACCUUUUGUAUAAUGGGUCAGCGACUUAUAUUCUGUAGCAAGGUUAACCGAAUAGGGGAGCCGAAGGGAAACCGAGUCUUAACUGGGCGUUAAGUUGCAGGGUAUAGACCCGAAACCCGGUGAUCUAGCCAUGGGCAGGUUGAAGGUUGGGUAACACUAACUGGAGGACCGAACCGACUAAUGUUGAAAAAUUAGCGGAUGACUUGUGGCUGGGGGUGAAAGGCCAAUCAAACCGGGAGAUAGCUGGUUCUCCCCGAAAGCUAUUUAGGUAGCGCCUCGUGAAUUCAUCUCCGGGGGUAGAGCACUGUUUCGGCAAGGGGGUCAUCCCGACUUACCAACCCGAUGCAAACUGCGAAUACCGGAGAAUGUUAUCACGGGAGACACACGGCGGGUGCUAACGUCCGUCGUGAAGAGGGAAACAACCCAGACCGCCAGCUAAGGUCCCAAAGUCAUGGUUAAGUGGGAAACGAUGUGGGAAGGCCCAGACAGCCAGGAUGUUGGCUUAGAAGCAGCCAUCAUUUAAAGAAAGCGUAAUAGCUCACUGGUCGAGUCGGCCUGCGCGGAAGAUGUAACGGGGCUAAACCAUGCACCGAAGCUGCGGCAGCGACACUAUGUGUUGUUGGGUAGGGGAGCGUUCUGUAAGCCUGUGAAGGUGUACUGUGAGGUAUGCUGGAGGUAUCAGAAGUGCGAAUGCUGACAUAAGUAACGAUAAAGCGGGUGAAAAGCCCGCUCGCCGGAAGACCAAGGGUUCCUGUCCAACGUUAAUCGGGGCAGGGUGAGUCGACCCCUAAGGCGAGGCCGAAAGGCGUAGUCGAUGGGAAACAGGUUAAUAUUCCUGUACUUGGUGUUACUGCGAAGGGGGGACGGAGAAGGCUAUGUUGGCCGGGCGACGGUUGUCCCGGUUUAAGCGUGUAGGCUGGUUUUCCAGGCAAAUCCGGAAAAUCAAGGCUGAGGCGUGAUGACGAGGCACUACGGUGCUGAAGCGACAAAUGCCCUGCUUCCAGGAAAAGCCUCUAAGCAUCAGGUAACAUCAAAUCGUACCCCAAACCGACACAGGUGGUCAGGUAGAGAAUACCAAGGCGCUUGAGAGAACUCGGGUGAAGGAACUAGGCAAAAUGGUGCCGUAACUUCGGGAGAAGGCACGCUGAUAUGUAGGUGAAGCGACUUGCUCGUGGAGCUGAAAUCAGUCGAAGAUACCAGCUGGCUGCAACUGUUUAUUAAAAACACAGCACUGUGCAAACACGAAAGUGGACGUAUACGGUGUGACGCCUGCCCGGUGCCGGAAGGUUAAUUGAUGGGGUUAGCGGUAACGCGAAGCUCUUGAUCGAAGCCCCGGUAAACGGCGGCCGUAACUAUAACGGUCCUAAGGUAGCGAAAUUCCUUGUCGGGUAAGUUCCGACCUGCACGAAUGGCGUAAUGAUGGCCAGGCUGUCUCCACCCGAGACUCAGUGAAAUUGAACUCGCUGUGAAGAUGCAGUGUACCCGCGGCAAGACGGAAAGACCCCGUGAACCUUUACUAUAGCUUGACACUGAACAUUGAGCCUUGAUGUGUAGGAUAGGUGGGAGGCUUUGAAGUGUGGACGCCAGUCUGCAUGGAGCCGACCUUGAAAUACCACCCUUUAAUGUUUGAUGUUCUAACGUGGGCCCCUUACCGGGGUUGCGGACAGUGUCUGGUGGGUAGUUUGACUGGGGCGGUCUCCUCCUAAAGAGUAACGGAGGAGCACGAAGGUUGGCUAAUCCUGGUCGGACAUCAGGAGGUUAGUGCAAUGGCAUAAGCCAGCUUGACUGCGAGCGUGACGGCGCGAGCAGGUGCGAAAGCAGGUCAUAGUGAUCCGGUGGUUCUGAAUGGAAGGGCCAUCGCUCAACGGAUAAAAGGUACUCCGGGGAUAACAGGCUGAUACCGCCCAAGAGUUCAUAUCGACGGCGGUGUUUGGCACCUCGAUGUCGGCUCAUCACAUCCUGGGGCUGAAGUAGGUCCCAAGGGUAUGGCUGUUCGCCAUUUAAAGUGGUACGCGAGCUGGGUUUAGAACGUCGUGAGACAGUUCGGUCCCUAUCUGCCGUGGGCGCUGGAGAACUGAGGGGGGCUGCUCCUAGUACGAGAGGACCGGAGUGGACGCAUCACUGGUGUUCGGGUUGUCAUGCCAAUGGCACUGCCCGGUAGCUAAAUGCGGAAGAGAUAAGUGCUGAAAGCAUCUAAGCACGAAACUUGCCCCGAGAUGAGUUCUCCCUGACUCCUUGAGAGUCCUGAAGGAACGUUGAAGACGACGACGUUGAUAGGCCGGGUGUGUAAGCGCAGCGAUGCGUUGAGCUAACCGGUACUAAUGAACCGUGAGGCUUAACCUUACAACGCCGAAG
RNAcentral lists this ribosomal RNA (2754 nucleotides) under Escherichia coli. Its description in RNAcentral is "partial 23S ribosomal RNA". It matches the Rfam family "Bacterial large subunit ribosomal RNA". The record is from RNAcentral. Lineage: Bacteria; Pseudomonadati; Pseudomonadota; Gammaproteobacteria; Enterobacterales; Enterobacteriaceae.